Molecule: long non-coding RNA, 128 nt
Organism: Nomascus leucogenys (northern white-cheeked gibbon)
Lineage: Eukaryota; Metazoa; Chordata; Mammalia; Primates; Hylobatidae
Exons: 3
Source: RefSeq, a predicted model, not a curated record
UUUAAUCUGUCCACUGGCCAUGUUGGCAGCUGAUUGGAUUGUGCUCACCCAGAUUAAGGGUGGGUCUGCCUUUCUCAGCCCACUGACUCAAAUGUUAAUCUCCUUUGGCAACACCCUCACAGACACAC